This 218-nucleotide ribosomal RNA is filed under the name uncultured bacterium. RNAcentral describes it as "partial 16S ribosomal RNA". It matches the Rfam family "Bacterial small subunit ribosomal RNA", at positions 328 to 544 of the family's 1533-position model. The record is from RNAcentral.
ACGCUCGACACCUACGGAGGCAGCAGUGAGGAAUAUUGGUCAAUGGGCGCUAGCCUGAACCAGCCAAGUAGCGUGAAGGAUGAAGGCUCUAUGGGUCGUAAACUUCUUUUAUAUAAGAAUAAAGUGCAGUAUGUAUACUGUUUUGUAUGUAUUAUAUGAAUAAGGAUCGGCUAACUCCGUGCCCGCAGCCGCGGUAAUCUGAGCGGGCGUGGCAAGGC